UUGUUGGCGUGCUCAACAAUUGAUUUACUUGUCGAUAUUCCUGUAUCAAAUGUCCGCUCUAGCCUACAAAGCUUUAUUUUGGACUUUUUCCAAAUUUUGAAAACAUUUGUUUGAUAAACCUUUAUCAAGAUAACAUAUGUAGUACAUUUAUUCUUCACUUUUUUUCAUGGAUCUCAAUUGCACAACGAAGAAGGGCACCGAUCUAUGGAAUAUGAAGGAUUUAAAAGAUAAGUUGGAGAGUUAGUUUAAAGACAUAUUUUAGUAUAAUCGUGCUUGAUAUUUUAGUUUGAAAUGAUACUAUUUUUCAAACUUUUGGUCCUUUACAAUUAUUUAAAUAGUAAUCUAUGAAGUACGAUUCUUACAAAUUUAUUUUAUUUACUUGUAUUAGUGGCAAAAUUGUAUCAAUGGCUUCGUUCUAUUAGUUAUCCGGUUUAUUUGUAAUACAUAAUUUGAAUUUUAAUAUCUACUGGUGAUUUUUCGAACUUGAAAUAAACCGUUAUUUGCAUGUUGUUUUAUGACCCAAACAAGAAAUCCUCACUCAGAGUAACGUCACCAGCUCAUACGUGUAGAACACGGACAAUAUUUUAGGGUUAUUUAUUUUUUUAGUCUUUUGAACAAGUCCCCGUCCUGUUUUAAAACUGCGCAUGACAGGAAGAGUUUUAUGAAAACACACCAUUUUUAUUUUCGUUUCGUUUUUAGUUUUUAUACUUGUUUCGUUUCAAAUAGAAUUUGGUUAAAAGAAAUCUCAUUUGUUAAUUUCUUUAAUUAAUUAUGAUGACGUUUUAAAAUGACACAUGUUAGUAAAUAUAGUAUUCAUCCGCAAUCGAAAGCAUUUUAGCUGCUUUUGUAAGAAAUACUUGAAGUCGUGAUUGAUAUUUCACCGUAUCAAGUGCUUGAAUUUACAAAUCAAUCAUUGUUUGAAGAACCGUGUCAUAUAUAUAUAUUGUAAAUACCUCUUUAUUGGUCUUGAACAAUUUAAUAAACAGCUUAUUUUUAAUUCCUAUAUUUAUUGGUCUAGGUAACCCAGUGUUUGAGGGGACUCGUUUUGCAACCUGAAAGUUGAAAGUGAGACUUAACACUUUUAACAUAGAUAGUAAUUGUUCCUUCGUCAGUUGCUCGUCAUUGGAAGUGAAAACCACUGGUCUUUUGGAGAUGUCCGUUUCAAAGAAGCUGUUUGCACGAUAAUAGACCCUUCAAUAGUACGCCUUUGAGCACUAUGCAAAACAAGCUGGUGACGUCUCGAGUGAGACGGAAAACAACAUAUAAUUUGAUACAAACAAGACAAAUAAUUCAUUUCCUUUCAGAACACCUGCCACCACCAUCUUCAUUAUAUGACAAAAGAACAAUUUGCAGGUGAAUAAGACAGAGAGGCUAAAAACUCUGGCGAAAUCUUCAAAUCUACCUUGUUGCCACCUAUUAAGAUGUUGGCAUUGUUGUGCAGGUUUUGAAAAGUUUGACCGAUAGAGCUACCGGAUCAACGUCUGCCACUUUUAAAGGUUUUAUGUUGAUGAGGCAUGGCUAUAAAUACACAUUAUAUUAAGAAGACAAUAUGUACAGUGGACACUCAUUUCCAUGUAUUCAUAUGCUCUAAUAAUCAAAUAAAGGGAUAUAAUUUGAGUUGGUGUU
This is a long non-coding RNA of Ostrea edulis (European flat oyster), 1626 nucleotides long. RefSeq lists it as uncharacterized. The record is from RefSeq and is a predicted model, not a curated record. The transcript is spliced from 2 exons. NCBI's taxonomy places the organism in Eukaryota, Metazoa, Mollusca, Bivalvia, Ostreida, Ostreidae.